Long non-coding RNA from Saccostrea cuccullata (small rock oyster), 992 nucleotides. RefSeq lists it as uncharacterized. Lineage: Eukaryota; Metazoa; Mollusca; Bivalvia; Ostreida; Ostreidae. The record is from RefSeq and is a predicted model, not a curated record. The transcript is spliced from 3 exons.
UUCCUGUAUGGAACAUUUGGUGAUUUAUCUUUAAUUGAAAACGAAGCUUCUGAUAAAAAUGGUUUGCUCCCUAGUACCAUAUCCAGUAAGGCUUCCAAUGUCCUACGUGACAUUCUGAAUCAGGAAAGUCUGGUCCGCUUCUCUAUGGUGCAAAAAAUACAAAGUCUAGUUAUGGAUGCUACGGACAGCAAAAACGAAAUACAAGUUAUUAAGGUGAAACUUAGUGAAAUAGCAAAGGACUUACGGAACUUGAAAAGGAAAAACCAAAUAUUGGAGGAAGAAAAUAUUGAACUGAAAGAGAAAUGAAAUUCAAGAUGGUUAGCAGAACGGUGAAUGUCAAUAAAAACUUUACAAUGGAAGAAAUGCAAUAUAUUGACCAGUUGAUUGAAAGCAAAACUUUAGCUCUUCAGGAUUUUGAGAGCACGCUAGAUUUGUUAAAUAAGUCAACAAAGAAGACAGAAAGUGACUUGAGAACAGACAUACAGACAUUGAAGAUGACCGACCAGAGUACAAUGAAGAAAAUAAAAGCACUAAAUAAAUCGCAAUUACUUUCCCCUAUUUGUCCAUAAAUUGAAAUGCUCAAAUAUCAAGUGAAUGCAAUGAAUGUAACAUUACAGAAAUGCACUGUAAACAGUUUUUUUAACGUGUUAAAAAGACAGAGUACGCGUUAGAAAAUUUCACCAUUUCUGUAAAUGAUACUCUACACACUGUUUGUGGGGAUCCGAAUGAAUCCAGCAGGAUCUUGUCAAAAGUGUUUCUGAGGGAUUGUGGAGAAAUUUUAAAGACGUUCCCUAGUUUAAAAGGGCGAGAUGGUGUAUACAGAAUAUCCGUAGGUUCUGAGGUCAAGUCUGUUUACUGUGACAUGAGUACAGAUGGAGGAGGGUGGACGGCAAUACAAAGAAGACAUGACGGGUUUACAGAUUUUUACCUGACUUGGCGAGAAUAUAAACAACUCAAAGUUUUGGAGAUCCCUCUAAAAACUACUGGAUUGG